RNAcentral lists this ribosomal RNA (1354 nucleotides) under uncultured bacterium. RNAcentral's name for it is "bacterial SSU rRNA". It matches the Rfam family "Bacterial small subunit ribosomal RNA", at positions 8 to 1383 of the family's 1533-position model. The record is from RNAcentral.
AGAGUUUGAUCCUGGCUCAGGAUGAACGCUGGCGGCGCGCCUAACACAUGCAAGUCGAACGAGCGAGAGAGAGCUUGCUUUCUUGAGCGAGUGGCGAACGGGUGAGUAACGCGUGAGGAACCUGCCUCAAAGAGGGGGACAACAGUUGGAAACGACUGCUAAUACCGCAUAAGCCCACGGCUCGGCAUCGAGCAGAGGGAAAAGGAGCAAUCCGCUUUGAGAUGGCCUCGCGUCCGAUUAGCUGGUUGGUGAGGUAACGGCCCACCAAGGCGACGAUCGGUAGCCGGACUGAGAGGUUGAACGGCCACAUUGGGACUGAGACACGGCCCAGACUCCUACGGGAGGCAGCAGUGGGGAAUAUUGCACAAUGGGGGAAACCCUGAUGCAGCGACGCCGCGUGGAGGAAGAAGGUCUUCGGAUUGUAAACUCCUGUUGUUGAGGAAGAUAAUGACGGUACUCAACAAGGAAGUGACGGCUAACUACGUGCCAGCAGCCGCGGUAAAACGUAGGUCACAAGCGUUGUCCGGAAUUACCGGGUGUAAAGGGAGCGCAGGCGGGAAGACAAGUUGGAAGUGAAAUCUAUGGGCUCAACCCAUAAACUGCUUUCAAAACUGUUUUUCUUGAGUAGUGCAGAGGUAGGCGGAAUUCCCGGUGUAGCGGUGGAAUGCGUAGAUAUCGGGAGGAACACCAGUGGCGAAGGCGGCCUACUGGGCACCAACUGACGCUGAGGCUCGAAAGUGUGGGUAGCAAACAGGAUUAGAUACCCUGGUAGUCCACACCGUAAACGAUGAUUACUAGGUGUUGGAGGAUUGACCCCUUCAGUGCCGCAGUUAACACAAUAAGUAAUCCACCUGGGGAGUACGACCGCAAGGUUGAAACUCAAAGGAAUUGACGGGGGCCCGCACAAGCAGUGGAGUAUGUGGUUUAAUUCGACGCAACGCGAAGAACCUUACCAAGUCUUGACGUCCUGCGACGCACAUAGAAAUAUGUGUUUCCUUCGGGACGCAGAGACAGGUGGUGCAUGGUUGUCGUCAGCUCGUGUCGUGAGAUGUUGGGUUAAGUCCCGCAACGAGCGCAACCCUUAUGGUCAGUUACUACGCAAGAGGACUCUGGCCAGACUGCCGUUGACAAAACGGAGGAAGGUGGGGAUGACGUCAAAUCAUCAUGCCCUUUAUGACUUGGGCUACACACGUACUACAAUGGCGUUAAACAAAGAGAAGCAAGACCGCGAGGUGGAGCAAAACUCAGAAACAACGUCCCAGUUCGGACUGCAGGCUGCAACUCGCCUGCACGAAGUCGGAAUUGCUAGUAAUCGCAGAUCAGCAUGCUGCGGUGAAUACGUUCCCGGGCCUUG